Molecule: ribosomal RNA, 254 nt
Filed under: uncultured bacterium
Lineage: Bacteria
Description: partial 16S ribosomal RNA
Rfam family: Bacterial small subunit ribosomal RNA
Source: RNAcentral
UACGUAGGGACCAAGCGUUGUUCGGAUUUACUGGGCGUAAAGGGCGCGUAGGCGGCAAUUCAAGUCAUCUGUGAAAUCUCUGGGCUUAACCCAGAACGGCCAGGUGAUACUGCUUUGCUAGAGUGCGGAAGGGGCAAUCGGAAUUCUUGGUGUAGCGGUGAAAUGCGUAGAUAUCAGGAGGAACACCUGAGGUGAAGACGGGUUGCUGGGCCGACACUGACGCUGACAGCGCGAAAGCCAGGGGAGCAAACGGG